AACCUUUACACUGCACGACAGUGCGAUAGGGGGACUCCGAGUGUGAGGGCAUAUAGCCCUCGCUUUUCUGUACCGUAAGGUGGUACAGGAACAAGGACUGGGCAAGACCGGUGCCAGCCGCCGCGGUAAUACCGGCAGUCCGAGUGAUGGCCGAUAUUAUUGGGCCUAAAGCGUCCGUAGCUUGCUGUGUAAGUCCAUUGGGAAAUCGACCAGCUCAACUGGUCGGCGUCCGGUGGAAACUACACAGCUUGGGGCCGAGAGACUCAACGGGUACGUCCGGGGUAGGAGUGAAAUCCUGUAAUCCUGGACGGACCACCAAUGGGGAAACCACGUUGAGAGACCGGACCCGACAGUGAGGGACGAAAGCCAGGGUCUCGAACCGGAUUAGAUACCCGGGUAGUCCUGGCUGUAAACAAUGCUCGCUAGGUAUGUCACGCGCCAUGAGCACGUGAUGUGCCGUAGUGAAGACGAUAAGCGAGCCGCCUGGGAAGUACGUCCGCAAGGAUGAAACUUAG
Molecule: ribosomal RNA, 515 nt
Filed under: uncultured archaeon
Lineage: Archaea
Description: bacterial SSU rRNA
Rfam family: Archaeal small subunit ribosomal RNA
Source: RNAcentral